RNA transcript from Equus quagga, 6738 nucleotides. It is a transcript of the gene named suppression of tumorigenicity 7, with no coding region annotated. The transcript is spliced from 17 exons. The record is from RefSeq and is a predicted model, not a curated record. NCBI's taxonomy places the organism in Eukaryota, Metazoa, Chordata, Mammalia, Perissodactyla, Equidae.
GCGGGCGGGCUCCGGGGGCGCCUGUGCAGCGGCGGCGGCGGCGUCGCGAGCGGCGCCUCCGGGCCGGUGAAUCAUCCCGGCAGACACCGAGAGCCGCGGCAGCAGAGAGCAGCGCCGAAAAAUGGCUGAAGCGGGCACGGGCUUUCUGGAGCAGCUCAAGUCCUGCAUCGUCUGGUCGUGGACUUAUCUCUGGACCGUGUGGUUCUUCAUCGUGCUCUUCCUCGUCUACAUCCUGCGGGUGCCCUUGAAAAUCAACGACAACUUGAGCACAGUGAGCAUGUUUUUGAACACAUUAACACCGAAGUUCUACGUGGCCCUGACAGGCACUUCCUCACUAAUAUCAGGGCUUAUUUUGAUAUUUGAAUGGUGGUAUUUUCGCAAGUAUGGAACGUCAUUCAUUGAGCAAGUCUCAGUAAGCCACUUACGCCCCCUUCUGGGAGGGGUUGACAACAACUCCUCCAACAAUUCUAACUCCAGUAAUGGGGACUCGGAUUCCAAUAGGCAAAGCGUCUCAGAAUGCAAAGUAUGGCGAAAUCCAUUAAAUUUAUUUAGGGGCGCUGAAUAUAAUCGGUACACUUGGGUGACAGGACGAGAGCCUCUGACUUAUUAUGACAUGAAUCUCUCUGCCCAGGACCACCAGACAUUCUUUACUUGUGACUCGGACCAUCUGCGCCCCGCAGAUGCAAUAAUGCAGAAAGCCUGGAGAGAGAGAAACCCCCAGGCUAGGAUUUCUGCAGCUCAUGAAGCCUUAGAGAUAAAUGAAAUUAGGUCCAGAGUUGAAGUUCCCCUAAUUGCUUCCUCUACCAUCUGGGAGAUAAAAUUGUUACCAAAGUGUGCAACUGCUUAUAUUCUCUUGGCUGAAGAAGAAGCAACAACCAUUGCGGAAGCAGAAAAGCUGUUUAAGCAGGCCCUGAAGGCUGGAGAUGGCUGUUACCGGCGUUCUCAGCAGCUACAGCAUCAUGGAUCCCAGUAUGAAGCCCAACAUAGACGAGACACCAAUGUCUUGGUCUACAUCAAAAGAAGGCUAGCAAUGUGUGCCAGAAGACUCGGGAGGACCAGGGAAGCAGUGAAAAUGAUGAGAGAUUUAAUGAAGGAGUUCCCCUUGCUGAGCAUGUUCAACAUCCAUGAAAAUCUUUUAGAAGCCCUUCUGGAACUACAAGCAUAUGCUGAUGUUCAGGCAGUCUUAGCAAAGUAUGAUGAUAUAAGCUUACCAAAGUCGGCAACAAUAUGCUACACAGCUGCCUUGCUCAAAGCAAGAGCUGUCUCUGACAAAUUCUCUCCCGAGGCUGCAUCUCGGCGUGGACUGAGCACAGCAGAGAUGAAUGCGGUAGAGGCCAUUCAUAGAGCUGUGGAAUUCAAUCCUCACGUGCCAAAAUACCUACUAGAAAUGAAAAGCUUAAUCCUACCCCCAGAACAUAUCCUGAAGAGAGGAGACAGUGAAGCAAUAGCAUAUGCCUUCUUUCAUCUGGCACACUGGAAGAGGGUGGAAGGGGCUUUGAAUCUUUUGCAUUGUACAUGGGAAGGCACUUUUCGGAUGAUCCCCUAUCCCUUGGAAAAGGGGCAUCUGUUUUAUCCUUACCCAAUCUGUACAGAAACAGCAGACCGAGAGCUGCUGCCCUCUUUCCAUGAAGUCUCAGUUUACCCAAAGAAAGAGCUUCCCUUCUUUAUUCUCUUUACUGCUGGACUGUGUUCCUUCACAGCCAUGCUGGCCCUCCUGACACAUCAGUUCCCAGAACUUAUGGGGGUCUUCGCAAAAGCUAUGAUUGACAUUUUCUGCUCGGCAGAGUUCAGGGACUGGAAUUGCAAGAGUAUUUUCAUGCGUGUUGAAGAUGAACUGGAAAUCCCACCGGCACCUCAAUCUCAACAUUUCCAAAACUGAACUCAUCACCCUUCUUCCCCCACCACCAAAACCGCUCUUCCUCCUGUAUUCCUGACCUCCGCCAGUGGCACUGCCAUCCACUCAGUUGCUCAACCAGAAACUCAGCAGCCCUCCCAAGCUCCCUCUCUCCCUCCCCACAUCCCGUCUGUCUCGGCUUCCACACCCUGUCGGGCCUAACCUCUUAAGCCACUACAUUCAGUAAAUAUAAUUCACCUCUUCUUCCCCUCCUUCUCUCCCCGUGGCCUCUCUUAGUUUAGAUCUUCAUUAUUUCUUGCCUGGACGCCUGUAAGAGUCUUCACUGGUCUCUUUGCUUCCAGUCUUCUCCUCUGCCAGUCUUUUUCUCCUACUGACACAAGAAUGAUCUUUCUAAAUUGCAAGUCUAAGCAUGUCACUUCCCUGCUUGGAUUUCUCCAGUGGUUUCCCACCAUCUUCAGGAUAAAGUCCCAGCUCUUUAGCAUAGCAUGCAAGGUCCUUUAUGAUCUGGCCUUGCUUGCCUCUUCAGUCUCAUCCCUCCCAACUUUUGCACAGACACUACUCUUGGGCCAUAGUGAAUUACUCACCAUUCCCAGAUGCACCAGGCUCUUGUGUAGCUCAGUGCCUUUGCACGUGCUGUUUGCGCUGCAUGGAAUGCCCUUUCCCAUCACCACCCUGACUUGUCCACUCUACUAAUGCCUCUUUGUUCUUUUAUACUCAGCUUUCUUUCUAAGUUUCUCCUAAGCUGAGUUAGAUGUCUCUCCUCCAUGAUCCCACAGUAUUCCAUGAAUACUUAUAUUAUCACAUUUAUUGUAUUGUACUAUAAUUGUUGAAAACUUGUCUGUCUCCCUUUUAGAAUGUGAGCUCCUUGAGAGCAGAACUAUGUCUUUCUUAUCUCUGUAUCCCCAAAGCUUUGCACAGUAACUUGCACAUAGUAGGUUUUCAAUAAAUGAUUAUUAAAUAAAUAAAUGGUAGUGGUUUCUGCAGAAAGAAUCAAUGUAAAAAUCAGAUACAGCUUAGCAUUUCUUCUCUUCUUUUAUAAUUAUGGACUCAGAAUUGAAAGGUACCUUAAACAGAUUGCCUUCAACAGUAACAUGAUGGAGGUCAUCUGGACUCAUCUUCAAUACUUUCACAAUGGGGAGCUCACCUAUUCAACAGAGAAGCCCAUUUCAUUUUUGGAUCACUCAGAUCUCUUCUUUAUACUGAUAAAAUCUACCUCCCUGUAAUUUUCACUUAUUGUUCCUGUUCUACCCUCUGAAACUAUAGUGAACAAGUCUACUUCCUCUUGCAAAUUCUUAAGACAGCUAAUAUGUUCUUGGCCACCUCUCACCUCUAACUUUCUACCUUCUAUGUUCCCUAGGCAGAAUAUCUUAAAUUUCCUUAAGUCUUCUGUACAUGAUAUGAUUUCUAAACCCAGUAUCACCCAAGUUGCCUCCCUGGAUGCUCCCUAGUUAAUGGACCCAUGCUUUUUAUUAUUUUCUUCUAUUCUCAAGUCAACUUCUAAGUAAAAGUAGUUGCCAAAAGUCUGAGUAGAUUACAGUGUAACUUAGGAAAAUUUAAAAUAAGAAUACAUUUACAACAUUAGACAAUUACUGUUCCUCCUUUUAUGUUCCUCUCUUAAACUUUUUUUUAAAGCAUAUCUGUAGAAGUCAUUGUCAUUGGCCUAGUAUUCUUCAUUAUAUGAACAAAUAGCACUUGGUGGGAGUUUUGCACCAGAACAGAGCUUCUCAGCCUCUAGUGUGCAUAAAAUUCACCUGGCCCCGCCACCAGACUCUUGAGUGCUAGCACCUGGAAUCUGUUUUUAGUAAGGACCCCAGCAGAUUCUGAGGAUGGGGGUUGAGGACCACGUUUCCUUUCAGGAACACCAAUCUCAAGAAAGCCAAAACUUUGAGCAGCCUUUUGCAGGUAGAUGGUGUACUGUCAGAGCUGGUGAGGCGAAAGCUUUCUAGGAAUCAGUGGUUUCGCCCUGGCUGCACCUCGGAAUCAUCUAGGGAGCUUAAAAAUUACUGAUGUCUGUCCUCCCUCCCCACGGGGACUCUCACUUAAUUGAUCUGGGGCACAGCGUGGGUAUCUGAGUUUUCAGACAGUCCCCAGGUGAUGUGGGGGUGCAGCCAGGGCUGAGAACCACUAUACUGAAUGAAAUGACUAAUUGCCUAAAACUGCCUUAACCAGGGAGCAGAUUGGGAAGAAUGGAGGACAUUACAUAGCAUAUGACUGGGUGUUCUCCACGAACGGCUGCACAGCCUCCAGAACAUCGGAGAGUGUGUUCAUUACCUAUGUUAGACAAACGGCCACUCUCCUCAUUUAAUGUUUCCAAAGCUUUGGUUUUGCGUCUAGGAUCAAGUGAUUGAAUAAAAUAUAAACUUGCCUUUACAGUCUUCGUAUUUUAUUCCCUACCAAGGUGUGCUGUUUUGCUUUGUUACUCAUAUUUUUCAAAUGUAGUUUAGAUAAAUUUGCUUUUAAACCUCUGUCUGGAGGAUCACAUUCAUCUUGCUCUUCAUUAAGAUUUAGCAGUUUCCAAAAUGUCUGGAGGGACUUCAUGGGGAAGGAAGAUGGAUGGCCUGAAGGAGACAAGCCCCAUCUCUCGCCUGCUCCCCCCCACCCCGCCCCCAGAGUCUUCUCCACAUUUUCACCCUUGCCACUUCAUUAGGCCCCUCAUGAAGCCCCUACAGGUUACCACAGCCACUCUAUAGGCUGCCUGCAACCAUUUGCAGCUUGUGAAAAUGAUUUUCUCAGCCCUCGUCUGAGAUAACGGCCCUGGGAUAAUGACUUUUAGUAGAUGCGGAGAGAUUGCACUGCCACCCUCCAGGCCACAAGCAGCUUGGGAACUCUCCAGCGUGUUUACAUGUUGAUAUGCAGCCAGCAAGGCAGGCCACAGUGGAGUGUGAACCACUGGAAAAUAGUAAAAUGAGAGGCUUCAACUGGCUUUCCUCCCUAAUCUAAUCUACCUCAAUGACUUAGGACUAACUCUUCCUAGAAUGUUUGGUUACCAAGAUAAGGUUGCUCAUAUAAAGAAGUUAUCAUUCCAAACCCAGCCCCUCACAGAAUGUGGGAGGGUCAGCAUUCUGACCCCUUCUACUUUGAAGGGCCCUGUCUUUCCUCCUCUGGUCUCUCUCCUUCCCUGAGACGGAGCCCCCUGACUUCUGACUCUCAUCUUCACUUAUAGGCCCUGACCUCUUUGAAGUCUGAUAUUGAUUACAGUGAAAUGUCAAUUGUCUCAUUGCAAUAGGGCACCUAGAACUUAUUCAGAUAAGCAGAGGCGUUUUGAAUGUUAACGAAGCACGUUGGGAGCCAUGACCUUCUUCUAAAUAAUGGUGUUUGGGGAAAAGGAGGAUCAGGCGAUUGAAGUGUCACUCUCUCUUUUUUAUUAGUUCAGUUGCUUUUUCUCACCACAAGACACUGAUUGAAUUAUGGUGCAUUUUGGACCGUGUAUCUCUGCCCUCUGGACAGAAGUUUUAGACAUUGAGAUAGAUGAGCUGUUCCAGGGUUGCCUGGUGUUGCUCAUUCAGACUUAACUUUUCAGGCAAUAAAUUUCCCAAGUCUAUGAGUGAAACUGCUGUUUCUCUAUAUGCAUUGGUUGAGUCUCUGGCCAGAGUAUUGACUGAUUUUCAAACGUGAAGAAAUGUAAAUCAGCAUCCCAAGCAAGGCAGGUUCCACCAAACUUUCUUUUUUUUAAUACCUCCUGAGGAAAGCCACUGACCUUUAUCUGGUUUCUAAGUGAAAGGGCUUAGCAGCAUCAGAUGACUUGUCACAUUGUCUGCCUCUUCCCUGUGGCUGAGGGGUGGGGAGGGGGAUGUGGGAAGGGGUGCUAAGGAGGAAGGUAGCUUAGUAAUCAGGGAUGCACACCUCAACUGAAAAGGUUCAAGGGAUUCUUUUCUCACUUCUCCCAAGGAUAACACAUUCUAGAUGUGAGGGAGAGCAGUAAAUCAUCACGUAUAUUGGAGGCACUGGGACUUAACUCUCUUGUGGAACCUUGUUGAGAAGGGCAGGUAUAGUCGAGGAAGGCAGGGCCCACUGUAUCCUGCUGUGCAGUGUGGGAAGAGAGGCAAUUACAGGCAUCAAACAGGGUGAGGCUCACCUUGAUUUCCAGAAGCCUCACUUUUCCACUUUUUAUCAAAAUGAGGUCAGUGCCCAAAACAAAGCAAACAAACAAACAGGUAUUUAUUUGAACCAACUUUGCAACAACAUCUCCAUUCAUUCUGCUGCCAAGCUGAGACUCCCUGAUAUCCCCUCGUUUUAGUGCAUGAAGUCGCCCAGAGUGCAGACUUUGAGUGAUGCCUUUCAUCUAACUGCACUGGUUCAUGCUAAUACUUCACUGAUUCCUUCCCCCAUGAGUCACAACUUUGGCAGUUCUAAAUCUGUUUUUGGUCAAGUCUUUAGGAUAUGAUAACUUCACCAACAAUAUCACCUUGUUCCUUGAUCCCCAUCUUCCAGCCCUUGUCAGAAUCUGGUUUAUCCAGACCACUUCAACACCUCGCUUCUCUUUAUGGAACUGAGUGUUAGAGGCAAAUGCUGUGUUUUAUGGAGCCUUGGUGGUCUCUGAUUACAUAUAAAUGAGUAAAAAGAUAUAUAUGUGUGUGUGUGUGUUAUAUAUAUUUUUAAUUUUAUAAUGUUAUCAUGUUGGGUUAAUGCAAUCAGUAGAUUUGUUCCACAUUAUCUUCUCAUAACCAGGAUUUUACAAACUCUUUCAGAGGCAGUUUGGGAAGUACUUACUCAUUCCUGGGCCCAGUAUCUCCCAUGAUGCCUUCCAACUGCAUUCAACUCUAAACUGAAAAGGAUAGGCAGUCCGUUCUGUAGGUUCCUCAGCACUUUGUUUGCCCCCUUAAACUUUGUCAUGGAGAAAGUGGAAAGCAUCCUCCCGUCCAGUCUGUGGCACCAGCUGACGC